CUCCACACCUGUGGAGUGGCAUACUUGUGUGUGGAUGUAUGUAGACAUGUAUGCAUACAUGCACCCACACAUACACAAGCACACUAACAAAUUUAGAAAUGAC
This is a microRNA precursor of Cricetulus griseus (Chinese hamster), 103 nucleotides long. The record is from Ensembl. Lineage: Eukaryota; Metazoa; Chordata; Mammalia; Rodentia; Cricetidae.